UACGUAGGGUGCAAGCGUUAAUCGGAAUUACUGGGCGGAAAGCGUGCGUAGGCGGCUAUGUAAGACAGAUGUGAAAUCCCUGGGCUUAACCUAGGAACUGCAUUUGUGACUGCAUUGCUAGAGUGUGGUAGAGGGAGAUGGAAUUCCGCGUGUAGCAGUGAAAUGCGUAGAUAUGCGGAGGAACACCAAUGGCGAAGGCAAUCUCCUGGACCUGCACUGACGCUCAUGCACGAAAGCGUGGGGAGCAAACAGG
This 253-nucleotide ribosomal RNA is filed under the name uncultured bacterium. Its description in RNAcentral is "partial 16S ribosomal RNA". It matches the Rfam family "Bacterial small subunit ribosomal RNA", at positions 524 to 776 of the family's 1533-position model. The record is from RNAcentral.